Dreissena polymorpha is the source of this 491-nucleotide long non-coding RNA. RefSeq lists it as uncharacterized. The transcript is spliced from 3 exons. NCBI's taxonomy places the organism in Eukaryota, Metazoa, Mollusca, Bivalvia, Myida, Dreissenidae. The record is from RefSeq and is a predicted model, not a curated record.
UACGUAGUUGUAAAUAGAUGGUAGUGUAUAUGGUGUAUAAAAUUUUAGUGUAAUAUUGCAUGGACAAACACAGACGUAUACUUUAUGACGAGACGUCAUUUAGGAAAGCGGGGGAGUAUGUACCCGAGUGGUUUUUAACCCUAUUUUACUUAUGUGUAACCUAUUUCUUGUGGUCAGUUCUCUUACUAUUGGGAAUGGUUUUGUCAGUCUUUGGAGGGAAACUGUUGGACAAAGACAGCGGUUUUCUUCGUGUAAUAUUUUGAGUAAUACAUGGUUAAUUAGGACUUCUACUGCAGUCACAGAAAGCGUGGGAAGAAGGAGCAAGGGAGUGAACUCCAUUCAGUUCCACAAAUUGAUUGGAGCCUUGACGUUUGAUGCUCUUGAGUUAUAUGUGAAUCAAAUAUUCUAAUUAUAUGGAAAUGUAAAACUAGACAGUCUUGAGUUAUCUUCCUCCUGUGUGGUUAAGUAGCGAAAUAACCACAAAGUUAUAA